This 541-nucleotide long non-coding RNA is filed under the name Olea europaea (common olive). RNAcentral's name for it is "long non-coding RNA (OEUR_LNC009948)". Lineage: Eukaryota; Viridiplantae; Streptophyta; Magnoliopsida; Lamiales; Oleaceae. The record is from RNAcentral.
UAUUCAUCAGUCAACUGAUUUGUUGAAGAUCUCAAUAAUAUAAUCUGCCUUUUAUAAAUUUCCUCACAUUUCAUGAUCUUUUGCCUAAAUGUCUUGACUCAUUGAUACUCAAUCAAGUCCACAGUUCAGUGGAGGAACUUCAGGGCACCCUUGGGGUAAUGCAGGUGCCAUUCCGAUAUAUAACUCUUCUAUAGAGUUCAUUAAUAUCCGAGCUCAUUAGUUUACCCGAAUGUGAGGGAAAGAUAAUUUAUACUGAUACCGAAAAGAUCUUUUUCUCAAGGGUAGAGAACCUGUUGUUGUCUCGGCUGCACUACCGGAAGCUUUGGGGAAGUCAGAAUAGGAGAGUAAAUGCACCCCGACUACAGAUUAGGCUACAUUUUUCACAAAUUUUACGAACAUAAGCUCUUGUGUUCAUUUGUUAAAAAGAAUGCUUUAUGUGGAAGUGAUGAUUGAUUGAUCAAAUCAGAUUUAAGUAAACAUGAUUCUUGUUGCUUCAUUGCCAUUCUUAAGGAUUUUCGUGUACAUUUCUUUCGGUUGCAUA